CACAUGCAAGUCGAACGCACCGCAAGGUGAGUGGCAGACGGGUGAGUAACGCGUGGGAAUCUACCCAAUACUACGGAAUAGCUCCGGGAAACUGGAAUUAAUACCGUAUGUGCCCUACGGGGGAAAGAUUUAUCGGUAUUGGAUGAGCCCGCGUGGGAUUAGCUAGUUGGUGAGGUAACGGCCCACCAAGGCGACGAUCCAUAGCUGGUCUGAGAGGAUGAUCAGCCACACUGGGACUGAGACACGGGCCAGACUCCCACGGGAGGCAGCAGUGGGGAAUAUUGGACAAUGGGCGCAAGCCUGAUCCAGCCAUGCCGCGUGAGUGAUGAAGGCCUUAGGGUCGUAAAGCUCUUUCAGUGGGGAAGAUAAUGACGGUACCCACAGAAGAAGCCCCGGCUAACUUCGUGCCAGCAGCCGCGGUAAUACGAAGGGGGCUAGCGUUGUUCGGAUUUACUGGGCGUAAAGCGCACGUAGGCGGAUCGUUAAGUCGGGGGUGAAAUCCUGNAGCUCAACUCCAGAACUGCCUUCGAUACUGGCGAUCUC
RNAcentral lists this ribosomal RNA (543 nucleotides) under uncultured bacterium. RNAcentral's name for it is "bacterial SSU rRNA". It matches the Rfam family "Bacterial small subunit ribosomal RNA", at positions 52 to 643 of the family's 1533-position model. The record is from RNAcentral.